GAUGAACGCUGGCGGCGUGCCUAAUACAUGCAAGUCGAGCGAAUGGAUUAAGAGCUUGCUCUUAUGAAGUUAGCGGCGGACGGGUGAGUAACACGUGGGUAACCUGCCCAUAAGACUGGGAUAACUCCGGGAAACCGGGGCUAAUACCGGAUAACAUUUUGAACCGCAUGGUUCGAAAUUGAAAGGCGGCUUCGGCUGUCACUUAUGGAUGGACCCGCGUCGCAUUAGCUAGUUGGGGAGGUAACGGCUCACCAAGGCAACGAUGCGUAGCCGACCUGAGAGGGUGAUCGGCCACACUGGGACUGAGACACGGCCCAGACUCCUACGGGAGGCAGCAGUAGGGAAUCUUCCGCAAUGGACGAAAGUCUGACGGAGCAACGCCGCGUGAGUGAUGAAGGCUUUCGGGUCGUAAAACUCUGUUGUUAGGGAAGAACAAGUGCUAGUUGAAUAAGCUGGCAUCUUGACAGUACCUAACCAGAAAGCCACGGCUAACUACGUGCCAGCCGCCGCCGUAA
RNAcentral lists this ribosomal RNA (515 nucleotides) under uncultured bacterium. RNAcentral describes it as "partial 16S ribosomal RNA". It matches the Rfam family "Bacterial small subunit ribosomal RNA", at positions 28 to 523 of the family's 1533-position model. The record is from RNAcentral.